AUUAGGUAGUUGACUGCUCGUUGGUGCAUCUCCCUUGCUUCCAACUGACAUUGUCCUACCUUCUCUUCUCCAUUACUUGUGUAAGCAGAGUCAGAAUGAGCUCUACCGUGACAGCUGGCGAGAAUCCACACCAAACCCCGGGAGGCAGAACAGCUGCUUUGCAAUUACAACAGAUCCCCACUAUCCAUUUUGUGUUGAUAUAAGAAACAAGGAGAUGCAAAGGUGUGCAGACAGCCCAGUCUGAAACUAGAACUCCGUCUCUUGUUCCCUGAGGAAGAAGCCAGCUCUGGAAGCAGCAAGAAGAUGGUUAUCUAUGUAUCACGCUCUACAUCCUCCGGAUGGUCAGAAGUGGAAUUAAAUGAGCUUUGCAAGUAGUUUGGUUCUGGCUGCUUGGUGUCAUCGCAGAUACUUAAUGAAAGCAUUGAGUCCUGAAGUGAGGAGGAGGGGAAAGUCUAGAUUGGCUGGACUCAUUGCAGUGAGCCACUGCAAGAAACAGGGAUUGCUGGAACCUGAAGGCCCCGUUUUGGAGUUGUGGAGGCCAUGGGCCUGCCUCUGUGGAACAGUGAGGAUUCUUGGGGUCCAGCACACUAGAAGGGUACUCCCAAGACACUGGUUAAAGGCUGGGACAUAGACCAGACCCUGUGCAUCUGUGACACAAACAUUUUUUUGGGUAACUCUGUCAUCUCAAUGAAAAAUGUGAAUGAUUUUUAAAUGACCUAAUUAAACUUUUAUAUAUUCAAAGGGCUUACAUUUUAUUUCGCCUGCCGCUUCUCCCAUGUGUGUAAGGCUGCCUACCAAUUCCUCCAAAACAUUUCUAAAGCAUCUUUAGCUGUCUUUUCUCCAAUUACUCUACAUUCUCUCUAAGGUUUCACUCUGAUUUUUUUUAUUUGUUUUGUUAAAUACAUAGUUGCAGCAUUGUGAAUCCCAAUCAUUCAAAAAUCAUGAAUAAUGCAUCCAGAAUCAUAAGAUUGGCUUAAUCAUGAGAUUUUAAUUUUGUUUUCUGAUUUUUGAGCAUGGAGUGUUCAUGUUCUCAAACUCUUUUCAAAUGUGAGCUAAAUGACAGUUGAGAUCCUCCAUAAUCACAUGACUCUAGGAGCUGGAGCUUUAAGACCAAAUAUGAGUCUUGUGAUAAAGUCAUAAGAGUUAGCAACACUGUAGUUUCUCAUCUCCUCCUUCAUAUAUGGAAAUAUAAAUAUAUCAUUUCCAUCCUCAGAAAUCUUCAGUAGCUUUUUGCCCAUUUCAGAAUUUAGUACAAAAUGAUCCCGCUAAAUAUUCUAGGUUCUCUGUGUAUUUACUGUCCCUUUCACUGUGUCCUCAUCUUUGUUAAACAUAUAAAUCUUGACUCUAAUGGCAUUCUGUCCAGGCCCAGGGGCACUGAUUAGAGUAACUUGUAGGAUUGUGGCCAAAAUCAUUUAUUAUGAUUUCUGAACCUUAUGUCCCAAUCUCUGAAACUCUGGGUAAUAUUAUUCUUUAGCAUAUAUAUUUAGAGUAUAAUAACUAAAGGCAUUAAUUUAAAGUUUUAACACAUAAAUGGUAC
Molecule: non-coding RNA, 1537 nt
Organism: Chrysemys picta bellii (western painted turtle)
Lineage: Eukaryota; Metazoa; Chordata; Testudines; Emydidae
Source: RefSeq, a predicted model, not a curated record